Molecule: ribosomal RNA, 1037 nt
Filed under: Palaemon serenus
Lineage: Eukaryota; Metazoa; Arthropoda; Malacostraca; Decapoda; Palaemonidae
Description: eukaryotic LSU rRNA
Rfam family: Eukaryotic large subunit ribosomal RNA
Source: RNAcentral
GAAGAGAGAGUUCAAGAGUACGUGAAACCAUUAGAAGCUCAAACGGGUGGAACCGUGAAGGUCGAAAGAGGGGAUUCAGCUGGCGGGGCGUGGGCGGCAGCGACGGUUCAAGUUGCAUUUCAGUGAGAGGACCCGGCGAUGGAGUUAGUUGCGCGGCCCCGUCGCUGUCAUGCCAUGACCCGCGGGCUUAUUUCUCCCUUGAGUAGAGUUGGUCGCUACCCGCUGCUUAGGCUCCGAGGGCCGUCCGGGACUGGUAGCCUGCGCCUUGGCACGGGUGAUGACCCGGUACGGUGCUGACCGGGCCCGAGUGGCGGUCAGUGCAGGGAGGCCGCGGAGAGAAGAAUGCGGCCUCUCGCGACUUGAGAGUGAUUGGUAAUCCACCCGACCCGUCUUGAAACACGGACCAAGGAGUCCAACAUGUGCGCGAGUCUAAGGGUGAUCUAAACCCGGAGGCGAAAUGAAAGUGAGCUCUGUGUUGGGCAGGCCGAUCCCCUGUCUGCCGAGGCCCGUCGGGCCAGCUAGGUUGAGAGAAUAUCCUUGGCUGGUACCGGCGGGUCUUCGGACCUGCGGGAGUUGGGGCGCAGGCCGAGAACUUGGCGUUGUGCGGCCCGGGGUACGGGGGGCUCUCGGGCUCCCUCAACCCGUGGUCCGCCGCCAAGUACCUGAGAGCGCAGCCGUUGGGACCCGAAAGAUGGUGAACUAUGCCUGGCGAGGACGAAGCCAGAGGAAGCUCUGGUGGAGGUCCGAAGCAGUUCUGACGUGCAAAUCGAUUGUCAGAGCUGGGUAUAGGGGCGAAAGACUAAUCGAACCAUCUAGUAGCUGGUUCCCUCCGAAGUUUCCCUCAGGAUAGCUGGCAUUCGGAGAGGUGAGUUUCAUCCGGUAAAGCGAAUGAUUAGAGGCCUUGGUGGUGCAAUGCCGUCAACCUAUUCUCAAACUUUAAAUGGGUGAGACGUGGAGCUUGCUUGAGAUGUGAAGCUCUAUGAUGCAAAGAAUCAGAGUGCCUAGUGGGCCACUUUUGGUAAGCAGAACUGGCGCUG